RNAcentral lists this ribosomal RNA (500 nucleotides) under uncultured bacterium. RNAcentral's name for it is "partial 16S ribosomal RNA". It matches the Rfam family "Bacterial small subunit ribosomal RNA", at positions 30 to 523 of the family's 1533-position model. The record is from RNAcentral.
AUUGAGCGCUGGCGGAAUGCUUUACACAUGCAAGUCGAACGGCAGCACGGACUUCGGUCUGGUGGCGAGUGGCGAACGGGUGAGUAAUACAUCGGAACGUGCCCAAUCGUGGGGGAUAACGUAGCGAAAGCUACGCUAAUACCGCAUACGAUCUAAGGAUGAAAGCGGGGGAUCGCAAGACCUCGCGCGAUUGGAGCGGCCGAUGGCAGAUUAGGUAGUUGGUAGGGUAAGGGCCUACCAAGCCGACGAUCUGUAGCUGGUCUGAGAGGAUGAUCAGCCACACUGGGACUGAGACACGGCCCAGACUCCUACGGGAGGCAGCAGUGGGGAAUUUUGGACAAUGGACGCAAGUCUGAUCCAGCCAUUCCGCGUGCAGGAUGAAGGCCCUCGGGUUGUAAACUGCUUUUGUACAGAACGAAAAGGCUCUGGUUAAUACCUAGGGCUCAUGACGGUACUGUAAGAAUAAGCACCGGCUAACUACGUGCCAGCAGCAGCCGCCG